GAUGAACGCUGGCGGCGUGCCUAAUACAUGCCAGUCGAGCGAACGGACGAGAAGCUUGCUUCUCUGAUGUUAGCGGCGGACGGGUGAGUAACACGUGGAUAACCUACCUAUAAGACUGGGAUAACUUCGGGAAACCGGAGCUAAUACCGGAUAAUAUUUUGAACCGCAUGGUUCAAAAGUGAAAGACGGUCUUGCUGUCACUUAUAGAUGGAUCCGCGCUUCAUUAGCUAGUUGGUAAGGUAACGGCUUACCAAGGCAACGAUGCAUAGCCGACCUGAGAGGGUGAUCGGCCACACUGGAACUGAGACACGGUCCAGACUCCUACGGGAGGCAGCAGUAGGGAAUCUUCCGCAAUGGGCGAAAGCCUGACGGAGCAACGCCGCGUGAGUGAUGAAGGUCUUCGGAUCGUAAAACUCUGUUAUUAGGGAAGAACAUAUGUGUAAGUAACUGUGCACAUCUUGACGGUACCUAAUCAGAAAGCCACGGCUAACUACGUG
Molecule: ribosomal RNA, 497 nt
Filed under: uncultured bacterium
Lineage: Bacteria
Description: partial 16S ribosomal RNA
Rfam family: Bacterial small subunit ribosomal RNA
Source: RNAcentral